UGGAGUGGAAGCUAAGCAAAUUCUAAACAAUCACUUAUAACUCUAUAGAAAACAAAGCUAGAGAUAUUACACAAUCAAGCAUGAAUGUAAGGCAUGAAAUACAAGAGAUAAGGUGUUGCCCAGUAGAUACAACCCAAGAGGGGGGGUGAAUUGGGUCUUUUAAAACUUUUAAGCUACUUCUAACACUUUUCAAUUAAUUAUGCUAAGUUGUAUAGUUGCACAGUGGAAUUUAAACUUAGCAAUAGGUUGAUUUAUCGAAUGAGACUUGAUUAAGUAAAUUGAAUAUGCUUACAACUAAAGGAUGCGCGGAUAAGAGUUAAGCAGGCAAUUUAUCUAGGUAAGUAAGUGAGCAAGAUAGACAAUGACAAGAAGCAUCACAAACACAACAAACAUAUAGUGGUUCGGUGCACCCCAGCACCUACAUCCACUCCCCAAGACCUCUUGGGAAUUUCACUAUAAUCCUACAGAUUACAGCCGGUUGUUUUCCAAGCUCACAACCAAACUUGUUGUUUUACGAGCUCACAACGAACUCGGUCGGUUUUCCCUGGCUCACCGACUAGAACCGCCCCGAUUGUUUUCCCGGGAUCACAAUCGAACCCUUACACACGUUGGUUUUACACUCGGCUCACCAACCAACCUCAAUACCCUUGAUUCAAUCCCCCGAUUGAACCAAGUAAAGACCAGGUGAAAAUAAAAGGUACAAACAGAAAACACAGCUUCUCAAA
This 725-nucleotide long non-coding RNA is filed under the name Phoenix dactylifera (date palm). RNAcentral's name for it is "long non-coding RNA (PDAC_LNC013612)". The record is from RNAcentral. Lineage: Eukaryota; Viridiplantae; Streptophyta; Magnoliopsida; Arecales; Arecaceae.